Alosa alosa (allis shad) is the source of this 469-nucleotide long non-coding RNA. RefSeq lists it as uncharacterized. The transcript has 3 exons. The record is from RefSeq and is a predicted model, not a curated record. NCBI's taxonomy places the organism in Eukaryota, Metazoa, Chordata, Actinopteri, Clupeiformes, Clupeidae.
ACGCACACAUAUACAGAAAAAUGCUCCAAGACCUCUGUGUUUGCUUGUGGAUGUACAUGUCAUACCGUCUACUCAGGAGUAGCGUCUCUGAGGGGGGGAAACAAAAUAUUCAAGUCCGGUGCCUGCCGUUUCCUCGGGAUUUGCCUGCUCCCGUCUUUGAAGUGACUGAGUCAUCGCCAUGGCUGCCUGCCUUCACCACAGAACCACGUCUCUUCAUCUAAGGUGGCUAUUCACCUCUUCAUAUGAAGGGAGAAGAUGAGACCGGGGAGUCUGCAAUCGUAUCAUGGUUUCCUUCAACUGUGAAGUGAAUCACUCCUAAGAUUCAAGCAUGUACACUGAAGGACUCAACAAUUCCACAACUCCACAACUCAAGACAAGGAUCAAGAGGAAUGGAAGUCUGCAGAAUGUCAAACUCUAUCUGAUUGUCUGUGUCUAAAAGCGUGUUGUUGCCAGAUGUCGUUGAUCCUGU